ACGGAAGGCAGCAGUGGGGAAUAUUGCACAAUGGGCGAAAGCCUGAUGCAGCGACGCCGCGUGAGCGAAGAAGUAUUUCGGUAUGUAAAGCUCUAUCAGCAGGGAAGAUAAUGACGGUACCUGACUAAGAAGCACCGGCUAAAUACGUGCCAGCAGCCGCGGUAAUACGUCUGGUGCAAGCGUUAUCCGGAUUUACUGGGUGUAAAGGGAGCGCAGGCGGUACGGCAAGUCUGAUGUGAAAGCCCGGGGCUCAACCCCGGUACUGCAUUGGAAACUGUCGAACUAGAGUGUCGGAGGGGUAAGUGGAAUUCCUAGUGUAGCGGUGAAAUGCGUAGAUAUUAGGAGGAACACCAGUGGCGAAGGCGGCUUACUGGACGACAACUGACGCUGAGGCUCGAAAGCGUGGGGAGCAAACAGGAUUAGAUACCCUGGUA
This 434-nucleotide ribosomal RNA is filed under the name uncultured Roseburia sp. Its description in RNAcentral is "partial 16S ribosomal RNA". It matches the Rfam family "Bacterial small subunit ribosomal RNA", at positions 341 to 792 of the family's 1533-position model. The record is from RNAcentral. Lineage: Bacteria; Bacillati; Bacillota; Clostridia; Lachnospirales; Lachnospiraceae.